RNAcentral lists this ribosomal RNA (301 nucleotides) under uncultured bacterium. Its description in RNAcentral is "partial 16S ribosomal RNA". It matches the Rfam family "Bacterial small subunit ribosomal RNA", at positions 509 to 807 of the family's 1533-position model. The record is from RNAcentral.
CAGUCGCCGCGGUAAUACGUAGGUGGCAAGCGUUGUCCGGAAUUAUUGGGCGUAAAGGGCUCGCAGGCGGUUUCUUAAGUCUGAUGUGAAAGCCCCCGGCUCAACCGGGGAGGGUCAUUGGAAACUGGGAAACUUGAGUGCAGAAGAGGAGAGUGGAAUUCCACGUGUAGCGGUGAAAUGCGUGGAGAUGUGGAGGAACACCAGUGGCGAAGGCGACUCUCUGGUCUGUAACUGACGCUGAGGAGCGAAAGCGUGGGGAGCGAACAGGAUUAGAUACCCGUGUAGUCCCUGUCUCUUAUAC